This 255-nucleotide ribosomal RNA is filed under the name uncultured bacterium. RNAcentral describes it as "partial 16S ribosomal RNA". It matches the Rfam family "Bacterial small subunit ribosomal RNA", at positions 524 to 776 of the family's 1533-position model. The record is from RNAcentral.
UACGGGGGGAGCAAGCGUUGUUCGGAUUUACUGGGCGUAAAGGGCGCGUAGGCGGUCGUGACAAGUCACUUGUGAAAUCUCCGGGCUUAACCCAGAACGGUCAGCUGAUACUGCGGGGCUAGAGUGCAGAAGGGGCAACUGGAAUUCUCGGUGUAGCGGUGAAAUGCGUAGAUAUCGAGAGGAACACCUGCGGCGAAGGCGGGUUGCUGGGCUGACACUGACGCUGACAGCGCGAAAGCUAGGGGAGCGAACGGG